This 3875-nucleotide long non-coding RNA is filed under the name Sus scrofa (pig). Its description in RNAcentral is "lncRNA (ENSSSCG00060014928.1)". The record is from RNAcentral. Lineage: Eukaryota; Metazoa; Chordata; Mammalia; Artiodactyla; Suidae.
GCUGAAGCGCGGAGCGCGAGAGUGACUUGCGGGACCUCCGCGCUCCAAGUUUCAGGGAAGUGCGGUUCUAUUCGCUCACCGAACUUUCUCCACACAUCUUUGUAGACGUCGUAUCCCGUCGUCCAGUCAAGGACUUGUUUUCUAAUCUGUACCUUAAAAAAAACUUCCUCUGUGAGUUCUCUCCGGGACUCGCGCUUGGGAGGCCGGCUAGGAAAAUCCCUCUUUUCAUUGGUUAUCGAGGUUGUCACUAUAGGCCUCCCUGGUCUCUGAUUGGUUCUUGGGAACGAGGCUGCAAAUUUCCCCUAUGGAUCGCUCAGCUUGCGCUCUGCCUAGUGUGGAAGGCGUUCUCCACACGGUUAGCUGCCUAUUUCCACAGAAUCCGAAGUUAGCGCUCUGAGGUCGUGGUGACGCGGUCGGGAGCGCACGGUACUGCUGGCUUCUAUCCCUCGUGGUCCCACUUCACCGCCUCCUUUUACGGCCACCUGUCCUUCCAGGGGGUCUUUCUUGGAGCACCGUCACCUGGAGUCACCUGUAGAUUGAGGUGUGCAUGGCAACCCCCCCGGCUCGCUGCGGGUGCUGGAAAAGGGAGGCGGGCCAAGGCCUCCGGCCCUAGAAAGUUGAGCAAGACCUGGCAACCUUCCCACAGAGGUGAUCAAUAAGUGCUUGUGGAAAGAACAAAUGAAUGGAUGGAUGGAGGAGGAGUCAGAAGGAGCACUCAGGAUGCCUUCCAGCUUUUCCAUGUGGGAGCAAGAAGUGAUGGUGAUCCUGGAGGAAGAGUCAACAUUCGCUCUUUUGAGUUUAUUUAGAAGACAGAGCUGCAUCAAGAGGACAUCCUCUUGCUAGGAGGUGGUCUUGCAUCCUUGUGACAGGGACACAUCCAGUGGGCUGCUCAAGUCAAGUCAAAGAAAGGGAAGUCUCAGGUGGAAGGAACAGAAGAAAGGAGAUGGUUGAAGAGGAUGGCUGCCAAGAUGUUGCUUUCAGGUUUCCCUGGUCCUGCUGGCCUGGGGGCAAUGUGAGAACUUAGUCGGGGGCAGCAGAAAGCUCACUAACUCACUCCCGGUGCGUGAGCUCACCCACGCAGGACCCUCUGCGUGCCUGGCUCUGUCACCACGGCACAUGUCGUGCUGGGCUUCCCCCUGUUUCCCCAGGCCGUGUGCAGACUUUUCUCAAGGGCUAAAAGAAGGUGUGUUUCUAUGAGGCUUCCACUCUAGAAAAGCAAAUUCCUUCCGUCCCAAGACAUCCAGCUCCUCUAAUUGGAAUCUCCAAUGGAUUCUAGAGGUUCUCCAGCAAACAGGCCUCAUUAUUCAGAGAGCCCCCAGAACCUCUUCCCAGCAGCCCAGCCCUGCUGAAGGAAUCCUUCUUGUGAAGCUCUCCGUGCCUCAGGUCCCAGCAUUUCAACGCACUUCAGCACAUUGUCACGCUGUUUGGGGUUGAUGGCAAAGCCGUCAAAUGUUUUCAAAGAGAAGAGGGAGGAAAAUCCCACACCCACCCCACUAGAGUCUUCUUAGGAAACAUCCACAGGCAUGGCUUGGUCUCCACAUUGGAUCUGGAGCUGAGAAUCCAUCUGGAUGAGAGUUGGUGAGAGACCACGGGUUCUCAGGGCUCCACCUGAUGUGGUUCCUCCAACAAAGCUUCUUUUGGGAUCUUCCCCACUCCUUCCCCUUCCCAGCUUCUAAGGACAUCUUCAGCUGCUUCUCUCUCCCUCUCCCCCAGCAACAGGGCUUGAUUCAGGCACCUUUGACUGAAUUAGUAACUCCUCAAAUGCAGCAUAAACAAGAUAAAAUUGGAGGGAGAGUAUAAAUGAGAAGAUGGAAAGGUUUCCUGUAUUAAAAUGCUCGCUGUGGUAUCACAGAAGCAUGAUGAGAUAAUUCGCUGAGAUUACUUUGUGCUUCGUGGAUGCUGCUAGAGUAGAAUCAGAGACUGCGUGCAAUCUAUUUGAGAUUUUGGUGUUUUUCCUCCUGUCCAGCCCCUUUCCAAGCAGGCAUCCUCUCUUGUCUCAGGUAGAGUGAACUGGACUCUAUCUCAGAUAAGCCUUCAAGGAAGGAAUGCAGGCUUUCCUCACCAUUGCUUCCAGGUCCAUCAGCUCUUUGCAGCAGGCUAACAAUGUUCCCAUAAAACACUCUUCCUGGGCCUCAGUUUUCUUAUCUGUAGAAUGGGAUUCACCCGUAUGGGGUUAUUAUGAGGAUUAAAGGGAGUCGGGGGAGAGAACUAUUAAGCAUGUAUGUGAGUCAGGGUUCUCCAGAGAAACAGAAACAUCAUCAUAUAAAUAUCUGUAUCAGUAUCUAUACCUUACCCUACCCCCCCAUGUGUUUGUAUAUGUGUGUGUGUGUGUGUGUGUAUACAUUUAUUUCAAGUGAUUGUGGGGGCUGGCAAAUCUGAAGUUUGCAGGGCAGGCCAGCAGGCUGGAAACUCUCAGGGAGGAGCUGAUGCUGCAGUCUUGAGGCAGAAUUUCUUUCUCUUUGGAGAAACCUCGGUUUUGCGCUUAAGGCCUUUCAAUUGAUUGCACGAGACCCACGCACAUCAUGGUGGAUAAUCUCCUUUACUUAAAGUCAACUGAUUGCAGGUGGUCACCACAUCCACCAGAUACCUCCGUAGCAAUACUUAGAUUAGAGUUUGAUUGCAUAAAUGAGGUCCUACAGCCAGGCCACGGUGAUGUAUAAAGCUGGCCAUCCGAGCGUGACCUCCCUAAUCUAGCCAGCUUGUCCCCAUGCACGUAGGCUGCACCGACCAGCUGCCCCUGACCUCCAGGGAAGCUUCCUUUCUCCUCCUACACCUCUGUCUCCCCUGUUAAGGUCGCCCCCUUCCUCCACUCUGACCUCUGACCUGGCUCUUCUCCUUCUUGCUUAUUUCCCCUGUGGUUAGGGGAACUGGCAGGGGGUGACCUUUGGGUUCUUGGGGUGGCAGAGGGGAGGAAAACCAAAGAGGGGGUCUGAACGCAUGGAGGCAGCUUGCUUCUCCUUUCUUCUUAUUGACAUUGGCUGUUAAAGGAAAGAAGAAUCAGACCUCAUCCACUGCCAGCAUGAAUCUUAGGCCAGAACUCGCUGUAGAUUUUAGAAACUCAUUCAACUGAAAAUGUGUCUGUCUCCUUCCCCUUCUGGAAUUAUGUCAGAAAGCCCCCUUCCUUGUUCCUUGCUCCAUCCAGCUCCUUUUCCUUGAUCAUAAUAAGCGGGGGAGUGAAGGGCUGCCCUAUCCUGGCUGGUGGCUGUCACCCAGCACAGAGUUUUGAUUGGAAGAUGACAUCCUGGCAUGUGUUUUUCAAUCAGUUUUCAAGUGUGUCCCCCCCCCCCCGCCACAGGCUUAUGCCUCUUUAGCUGCAAACUCAUUACAUACAGUGUGUCACAGUCUCCCCAGGUGUAAAAUUUUAUUUUAAAACCCUGUGUGUUCCAGCAUAUUUACAGAUGAAAUUUAUACUGUUUGGGAUUUGUUUCAAAAUAAUGCAGAAGGGGGACAUGCGUAGGGUAUCAUGGAAACCAGAUCAGCUGUGGAAAUGAUCACUGUUGAAGCCAGGUGGUGGGUAUGUGGGGGCUCUUCAUUGGUUCUACUCUUCCGUGUACUGUUGACUAUGUUUGCAAUUUUACAUAGUGAAAAAUUUAAAAAGAGAAAAAAAAACCCACAUUAUAAAGUCCUGAAGUAUGUUUUCAAAUAGUAUUUCUCAAGAAUGUAGUCACGGUUCCACAGACAUUUGAUUAAAAUUUCAGUUUUUAAUAUAUUCAUAACUCCUUAAAGCUUGGGACAACAGGAUGCGGGAGUGUAGCACUCUGGGGGACAAACUCUGUAAAGGGCUGGUCAGCGUUUUUGGCUUUGUGGGCUGUGCAGCUGUACAGUGUAAAAGCCUUGAAUGCACAUGGCUCUGCUCCAAUAAAACUUUAUUUAUG